Molecule: long non-coding RNA, 361 nt
Organism: Entelurus aequoreus (snake pipefish)
Lineage: Eukaryota; Metazoa; Chordata; Actinopteri; Syngnathiformes; Syngnathidae
Exons: 3
Source: RefSeq, a predicted model, not a curated record
CGUUACAGUUUUUUUUAAAUCUGGGGAUGGAUGGCUGAGUUGGACACGUUCUGGAUCCACACGACCUGUGAGUAUUCUCACUACUUUGCUCUCAAGAAAUUGCAGUACAAUCUGAAUUACUUUUUGGAUGAACUGGGUGUCUACCAGUGUUACACCACUAGUUCUCAGUAGUAAUAACACUCCAUUUCAUGUCUCUCAGUAGAUGAAGCCAGCUGCAACCCGUAGAGUGGAGUCGUGGAGAGAGCCCCUCGCCCCUCAGCUAAACCAGAGUAAAUGAAGCCAGCACCAACCUGUGGAGUGGAGUCCAGGAGAGAGCAUGCCGCCCCUCAGCUAAACCAGAUCAGAUAAAGCCAACUGGAAC